AUCAUUGUUCGAAGCGAUUAGUUUACUAAGAGCGGAGAUGUUGCUAUCUUAGUGGCGGACGGGUGAGUAACGCGUGGGUAACCUGCCUUACACUGGGGGAUAACACUUAGAAAUAGGUGCUAAUACCGCAUAAGCGCACAGCUUCGCAUGAAGCAGUGUGGAAAACAAAAAGCUAAAGCUUUUGGUGGUAUACGAUGGAUCCGCGUCUGAUUAGCUUGUUGGCGGGGUAAAGGCCCACCAAGGCGACGAUCAGUAGCCGGCCUGAGAGGGUGAACGGCCACAUUGGGACUGAGACACGGCCCAAACUCCUACGGGAGGCAGCAGUGGGGAAUAUUGCACAAUGGGGGAAACCCUGAUGCAGCGACGCCGCGUGAGUGAAGAAGUAUUUCGGUAUGUAAAGCUCUAUCAGCAGGGAAGAAAAUGACGGUACCUGACUAAGAAGCCCCGGCUAACUACGUGCCAGCAGCCGCGGUAAUACGUAGGGGGCAAGCGUUAUCCGGAUUUACUGGGUGUAAAGGGAGCGUAGACGGCAGCGCAAGUCUGGAGUGAAAUCCAUGGCUUAACCAUGGAACUGCUUUGGAAACUGUGCAGCUAGAGUGCAGGAGAGGUAAGCGGAAUUCCUAGUGUAGCGGUGAAAUGCGUAGAUAUUAGGAGGAACACCAGUGGCGAAGGCGGCUUACUGGACUGUAACUGACGU
RNAcentral lists this ribosomal RNA (697 nucleotides) under uncultured bacterium. Its description in RNAcentral is "bacterial SSU rRNA". It matches the Rfam family "Bacterial small subunit ribosomal RNA", at positions 59 to 746 of the family's 1533-position model. The record is from RNAcentral.